ACGGAAGGCAGCAGUGGGGAAUAUUGCACAAUGGGGGAAACCCUGAUGCAGCGACGCCGCGUGAGUGAAGAAGUAUUUCGGUAUGUAAAGCUCUAUCAGCAGGGAAGAAAAUGACGGUACCUGACUAAGAAGCUCCGGCUAAAUACGUGCCAGCAGCCGCGGUAAUACGUAUGGAGCAAGCGUUAUCCGGAUUUACUGGGUGUAAAGGGAGCGUAGACGGCGAGGCAAGUCUGAUGUGAAAGCCAUGGGCUCAACCCAUGAACUGCAUUGGAAACUGUCUUGCUUGAGUGUCGGAGAGGUAAGCGGAAUUCCUAGUGUAGCGGUGAAAUGCGUAGAUAUUAGGAGGAACACCAGUGGCGAAGGCGGCUUACUGGACGAUAACUGACGUUGAGGCUCGAAAGCGUGGGGAGCAAACAGGAUUAGAUACCCUGGUA
RNAcentral lists this ribosomal RNA (434 nucleotides) under uncultured Ruminococcus sp. Its description in RNAcentral is "partial 16S ribosomal RNA". It matches the Rfam family "Bacterial small subunit ribosomal RNA", at positions 341 to 792 of the family's 1533-position model. Lineage: Bacteria; Bacillati; Bacillota; Clostridia; Eubacteriales; Oscillospiraceae. The record is from RNAcentral.